UACGGGGGGAGCAAGCGUUGUUCGGAUUUACUGGGCGUAAAGGGCGCGUAGGCGGUCAGCACAAGUCAGUUGUGAAAUCUCCGGGCUUAACUCGGAAAGGUCAACUGAUACUGUGCGACUAGAGUGCGGAAGGGGCAACUGGAAUUCUCGGUGUAGCGGUGAAAUGCGUAGAUAUCGAGAGGAACACCUGCGGCGAAGGCGGGUUGCUGGGCCGACACUGACGCUGGUGCGCGAAAGCCAGGGGAGCGAACGGG
Molecule: ribosomal RNA, 254 nt
Filed under: uncultured bacterium
Lineage: Bacteria
Description: partial 16S ribosomal RNA
Rfam family: Bacterial small subunit ribosomal RNA
Source: RNAcentral